Molecule: ribosomal RNA, 253 nt
Filed under: uncultured bacterium
Lineage: Bacteria
Description: partial 16S ribosomal RNA
Rfam family: Bacterial small subunit ribosomal RNA
Source: RNAcentral
GACGAACCGUCCAAACGUUAUUCGGAAUCACUGGGCUUAUAGAGUUCGUAGGCGGUCCCAAAAGUUAGGUGUGAAAUCCCUCGGCUCAACCGAGGAACUGCGCUUAAAACUGUGGGACUCGAGGGAGAUAGAGGAAAGCGGAACUGAUGGUGGAGCGGUGAAAUGCGUUGAUAUCAUCAGGAGCACCGGUGGCGAAGGCGGCUUUCUGGGUCUUACCUGACGCUGAGGAACGAAAGCUAGGGGAGCGAACGGG